This is a non-coding RNA of Nothobranchius furzeri (turquoise killifish), 3370 nucleotides long. NCBI's taxonomy places the organism in Eukaryota, Metazoa, Chordata, Actinopteri, Cyprinodontiformes, Nothobranchiidae. The record is from RefSeq and is a predicted model, not a curated record.
UAUAAAAGAAUCUGUGGAACUUCUUAUAAAAACAAGAAAAGAGGCUGGGAUUUCCCCCACUAAUCCCUACAUUUUUGCCCGUCCGUUUUAUGGCUCACAAGAGAGCAUUCGUGGAUGUGAUAGCUUGAAGCGGUUUGCAGAAAGUUGUGGAGCUAAACAGCCGGAAAAUCUCACAUCAACAAAACUACGAAAGCAUGUAGCCACGAUUUCACAGCUCCUUAACCUGCAAAACCAUGAACUAGACCAACUGGCCACUUUUAUGGGACAUAAUAUUGAUGUGCAUAGGGAGUUUUACAGACUACCUGAAGAAACGCUCCAACUGACAAAAGUCAGUAGACUUCUUUAUGCUCUGCAAGGUGGAAUGGGUAAAUUCAAAGGAAAAUCCCUGGAAGACAUCACACCUAACAUCGACUCUGAAAAAGAAUCAAGUGAUUCAGAUGGAGAUGCACAAUGUGAGGCAACUGCUACCACAUGUCAAAAAGUGCUUUUUUCAGAAAUUUCAAAGGAUAGACCCUGCAAAGAGAGCACAGCUGAAUCAAAAAAGGCUACUGGGGGCAUUAAAAAAUCAUCAGUGCCAUUGCUUAAAAAGGGUGAGUUACUCCUUAUGUUCUGUUUCUUUUCAAUCUCCAUUAGUUUUUUCUUGUUUAAUACAAAGCUUAGCAAUGUUUUUUUUUUUACCUUGAAUUGCUGACAGUUUUUCAAGUGAGUUACUCAUUUCACUCUGUAUAAGGCAGAGGUAGGGAACCCCGGUCCUGGAGAGCCGCUAUCCAGAACAUUUUAGAGGUUUCCCUGCUUCAACACAGUUGAAUAACCUGUUCAGCAGCUCAUCAGACUCUACAGAAGCAUGUUAAUCACCUGCUGAUUGAAAUCAGGUUUGUUGAAGCAGGGAAACCUCUAAAACAUGCUGGAUAACGGCUCUCCAGAACCAGGGUUCCCUAACCUAUAUAGUAAUAAAUCUAAAUUGAAUAUCUUGACAUUUGUUGACCAGAUUGUGCGUGAUUUUUAUUAAUCCAUUUAUUACUUUCUCUUGUUAAUUUACUAACAGGGAAACCCAAGAAGCCCUGGUCAGAGACUGAGAGAGAAGUCAUUGACGAGCAUUUCAAGAACUUUCUAAAGGAAAUGAAAAUUCCAGGAAAAGCAGAGUGUCAAAGAUGCCUAAAUGACAAUCAGCUUCUGAGGGAUAAAGGAAGAGACUGGAAAGCAGUAAAAUAUUUUGUGCACAACAAAAUUACUGCUAUGAGGAGGUCUUUGUGCUAACAAUAACAAAACCAGUAAUCCUAAGUUCUUAAGAGAAAUCAGUGUACAAACAAUUGGUCAUUUUAUGUAAAUUCAAUUGGAUCCAUCAAAUGUGCCUUCUCAAUUUGCUAACACAUGUUACAGUUUUUAAUCAGUAAAAAUUCACAAUUUUUUAAAUCUAUAUUAAUAAUGCAUGUAUAUCCUUGGAGACUGUAGACAUUGUUGCGAUAGUUUAACACUAAGCUUUAAGAAGUUAAACAGUACUCUCCCUGAGUUAUCCUUUGAAUUCCAGAGAAACUGAUGACUCCUAUUACCUCAUGUAUUUUUCUUUACUUAUUAUUUUUAGUAACACAUUGUCUUCAUAUCUACAAUAGUUAAAUAUUGCUUCAGUUUUUUAUUUGCAUUUCACAGUUUAAAUAGCAGUGACAACAUUGCCAGUUUGUAAAGUAACACUGCACAUUAGCUGCAUAUAUUUUAAAUAUUUUCUUAUGCUUUCCGUUUUUUUUUUAAUUACCUACUCUCGAAUGUGUAUAUCACUCUAUUUUAACUGAGUGGAAACUUGUGUUAUUAUGUACCAGCCAACAGUGGACCGAUGUAAUUCCAUACAACCAAGUGUGGACCAUUUUUUGGUUGUAAAAACAAUAAAAUGCAUUAUGCAAAAUUUCGUUUUCAAUCUUUGACUCUUCCCAUGCUGAUACUUGUCUGUUUUUUAAAUAUUUUUUCUUGUCUUUUUCAAUGCAUGUUAAUUGAAGAGUAAUUGUGUCAUGGUGCAUGUGAGUUGAGCGGUUGUGAGGAUCCAAAUGCUGGGGAGGAAGCAGGCAGGCAGACAAACUGGAACAUGUAAAAGGUCUUUAAUGAUAAAUGCACGCAGGACAUGGAAACAAUGAACUGACAAGACAGACAGAACUAAGAGGGUUUAAAUUAGGGAUGAAGCAUUUUUGAUGAAUACGAGCAUGAAACGAGUAAAACUCGUAAAUAUCUGUAAUCAUGCUGAAGGAAAAUCUUCAUUGGGUAACUGACUGUCUUCAUGCUCUGUGAUUGGCCAGUCACAUAGAGUGCCCACCCCUCCCUACACACAAAACUGCAGCCGGCCGCCGGCUUCAUUCUUUUUUAAAUGACCAACUCUGGAAUGUGUAUAUUGCCCUAUGGUAACUGAGUGGGAACUUGUGUUAUUAUGUACCAACUGACAGUGGACCGAUGUCAUUCCAUACAGCCAAGUGUGGACCUUUAUUUUGGUUUUAAAAACAAUAAAAUGCAUUAUGCAGUUUUGCCUUUUCAAUCACUGACUCUUCCCAUGCUGAAACUUUGUCUGUUUUUUAAAUAUUUUCUUGUCUUUUCAAUGCAUGUUAAUUGAAGAGUAAUUGCAGAACAAACUUUCUCAAACAGCAGUUAUUCUGGUUUAGUUAUUGGACACUGUUUUUACAAAACAAAAUUAUAUUUAAUCACUACUAAAGAAGAAACAAAUUUGGGGAUUUCUGUGUGAAACAUUGCUUUUAAAAACAAGCCAAGGAGAUUAAGGGAUCCUAAAAGAGUGAACGGUAAAUUAGUUUUUAGUUAUUAAUGUAAAGACAGAAAGAAAAGGUCUUGAAUAUUUUCUUAUGUUUUCCAUUUAGCUUGAUUCAUUUUUAAAUGACCAACUCUGGAAUGUGUAUAUCGCCCUAUGUUAAUUGAGUGGGAGCUUGUGUUAUUAUUUACCAGCCGACAGUGGACCGAUGUCAUUCCAUACAGCCAAGUGUGGACCUUCUUUCUGUUGUAAAUCUAAACAAUAAAAUGCAUUAUGCAGUAUUGCCUUUUCAAUCACUAACUCUUCCCAUGCUGAUACUUGUCUGUUUUUUUAUUUUAUUUUUCUUGUCUUUUUAAAUGCAUGUUUAUUGAACAGUAAACCAUCUCAAACAGCAGUUAUUCUGGUUUAGUUAUUGGACACUUUCUUACCAAAAAUGCCUAAUUUUGUUUCAAUAUACUGAUUUGUUUGAUUUGUAGCCUGUUUGACAGUAAUUUUGCGGUCUGAAAGGCUGCCAGGGGCCUGGGUUAUGGGGAGUGUGAAAAGUGAUGUGUGUGAAUAGGUCAUUAAAAUCCCAUCUCCAGCCUGCAGGGGCGCUGGUGUACAUACACUUUAACACUCACACACUUUCAG